CAUCCCCUCACCAUGGCCUGGACCCCGCUCCUCCUGGGCCUCCUGGCUCACUGCACAGUUUCUGUAUCUUCCUAUGAGGUGAAUCAGCCGCCCUCAUUAUCUGUGAGCCUGAGAGGGGAGGCCAAGAUGACCUGUGCGGGAGACAAAAUUGGAAACAAAUAUGUUACAUGGUACCAGCAGAAGCCAGACAAGGCGCCUGUGCUGGUCAUCUACAGGGAUAACAACCGGCCCUCAGGGAUCCCUGAGCGCUUCUCUGGCUCCAACUCUGGCAACCUGGCCACCCUGACCAUCACUGGAGUCCAAGCUGAGGAUGAGGCCGACUAUUACUGUGCAGCAGCUGGUACCAUUGAGGGCAGCUGGCAGUGA
Non-coding RNA from Sorex fumeus (smoky shrew), 366 nucleotides. The record is from the annotation of a RefSeq genome assembly. Lineage: Eukaryota; Metazoa; Chordata; Mammalia; Eulipotyphla; Soricidae.